GUAGGGUCCGAGCGUUGUCCGGAAUUAUUGGGCGUAAAGGGCUCGUAGGCGGUUUGUCGCGUCGGGAGUGAAAACCAUGGGCUUAACUCAUGGCUUGCUUUCGAUACGGGCAGACUAGAGGUAUGCAGGGGAGAAUGGAAUUCCUGGUGUAGCGGUGAAAUGCGCAGAUAUCAGGAGGAACACCGGUGGCGAAGGCGGUUCUCUGGGCAUUACCUGACGCUGAGGAGCGAAAGUGUGGGGAGCGAACAGGAUUAGAUACCCUGGUAGUCCACACCGUAAACGUUGGGCGCUAGGUGUGGGACCUAUUCCAUGGGUUCCGUGCCGUAGCUAACGCAUUAAGCGCCCCGCCUGGGGAGUACGGCCGCAAGGCUA
RNAcentral lists this ribosomal RNA (372 nucleotides) under uncultured bacterium. RNAcentral describes it as "bacterial SSU rRNA". It matches the Rfam family "Bacterial small subunit ribosomal RNA", at positions 527 to 896 of the family's 1533-position model. The record is from RNAcentral.